AACGAACGCUGGCGGCAGGUCUUAGGCAUGCAAGUCGAACGGGUGAAACAGGUGCUUGCACUUGUGGAUCUAGUGGCGCACGAGUGAGUAACGCGUGGGAAACUGCCCACUACUGGGGAAUAACGUUUGGAAACGAACGCUAAUACCGCAUACGCCGGAAACGGGAAGAUUUAUCGGUGGUGGAUGUGCCCGCGUUGGAUUAGCUUGUUGGUGGGGUAACGGCCUACCAAGGCGAUGAUCCAUAGCUGGUCUGAGAGGACGAUCAGCCACGCUGGAACUGAGACACGGUCCAGACUCCUACGGGAGGCAGCAGCUAAGAAUAUUGGGCAAUGGAGGAAACUCUGACCCAGCCAUGCCGCGUGAAUGAAGAAGGUUUUCGGAUUGUAAACUGCUUUAGACAGGGAAGAAACAAGACAGUACCUGUAGAAUAAGCUCCGGCUAACUACGUG
Molecule: ribosomal RNA, 449 nt
Filed under: uncultured bacterium
Lineage: Bacteria
Description: bacterial SSU rRNA
Rfam family: Bacterial small subunit ribosomal RNA
Source: RNAcentral